Agrilus planipennis (emerald ash borer) is the source of this 96-nucleotide non-coding RNA. The record is from Rfam. NCBI's taxonomy places the organism in Eukaryota, Metazoa, Arthropoda, Insecta, Coleoptera, Buprestidae.
AAAAAAUGGGUUUUGGGGAUUAUCCUGUCGAAUACGAUCCGAAAGUUCAUGGUCCUUAUGAUCCUGCUCGUUACUACGGAAAAGGUAAUUUACGAA